This 1080-nucleotide long non-coding RNA is filed under the name Capra hircus (goat). RNAcentral describes it as "lncRNA (ENSCHIG00010020151.1)". The record is from RNAcentral. Lineage: Eukaryota; Metazoa; Chordata; Mammalia; Artiodactyla; Bovidae.
AUAAAUACUAAUUGAAUAUUAAGAACAUAUUUGUGCAGAAGGAGCUGCUUUCGAUGAGCCGUGCCCUUUGCCAGCCAGAUGUUUGGACUCAUUUUGGAGGCUGAGUCAUCAGCUGGGAGGCCCUGGCAUUUGGGCUCUGCUGCUCUGUGUCUGGGGAGGAAGGCAGGCAGCCCGAGGAGGACUGGCUCCCAGGUAUAUGCCAGGUAUGCUGCUUGGGGAGAUCACCGUCUGCCCUCUUGGCCAGAUGCCCUUGUUCAGUGAACAACCUUCCCAACUGUACAUGGCAACCCUGCCUACAGCGUUGUCAUGAGAAUAAACGAGACAUCACACACCUUCUUUGGAAAGACAGACGAGAGGAUGUUGACACAUGAACCAAGAACCGGAGAGGAGACAGCUCCUGUCACCGCACUGAAGGCAGCAGAGGGUCUGCAGAGCCUGAUGCGAGAGCGUCUCCCCAAAGCUCUGGUCCCGGGGCCCUUGGAGCCGCUGUGCGAGGACCCCUCCCUCCACCCCGGUUCUUGCAUUAGUCCCUGGACUUGGGGAUUGCCGCCCACAGCUGUGCAGAGCUCAGAGGCAGCCCAGAGACAAAGAUUCUAACCCAACUGCACGCAAGUUGAACUGGGAGGUGAUCCCUGGAUGCGCUGGGAGGGAGGUGGGGAGGGAGACAGGGCUGCAAUGUGGGGCACGGGGGCUCUGGGGACCCCUGGGAGAGACCAGAGCUCCGCACGAGGUGAGGCUGCCAUAAGGCUGCUGCUGGGGGGCGGUGCUGAUGCCAGUCAUCACUCCUGGGCCGGGAGGGCCCCUUCCUGUGACAGAAUUCCUAGUAGACCCGGGGGGCCUUGGUCCUCAGGACAGCCCUUGCUGUGCGCCAGGCACUGUUGUAUUAGGUCACCCCCCUGUUGCAGGGGGACGUGAGGCUCAGAGAGGUGGGGUGACUUUCCUAACAUCACAGAGUUAGUGAGCAACAGAGUUAGUCACAGGCUCGCUGUUCUGUGUGAGCUGCACUGCUGGAAACCCACCAGGCACGAAGGGGUCUACAGGGAGAAGCCCCCACCUUGUCCCACGGCCUCCCAGCGCCCC